GGGGGAGGUUCGCUUGACAGAUGAAUCCUGCUAAACUUCAUUACCUCGGUGAACUCCGGGGCUAUCCCCG
Molecule: transfer RNA, 70 nt
Filed under: Hyporthodus octofasciatus (eightbar grouper)
Lineage: Eukaryota; Metazoa; Chordata; Actinopteri; Perciformes; Serranidae
Description: tRNA-Ser
Source: RNAcentral